AAUCGGUCAUCGCGAGGCGGGGCCAUGGCGCUGUGUCUCUGUGGAGGUUUCCGCUAAAAUCCUUUCAGUGAGGCUGAGAAAACAGUAUCGGUGUGAGCCAAAAACUGUUAACGUGCAGAUAUACUGAGGAGAAAGUCACGCACGUUUGGCCCGGGGAAGGACGGAGUGGGUGAGGUGCCGAAGAAUGGAGGUUGCCUAACGUGGUGCCACUGUUUAAGGGUGGUAAGGACAAGCCAGGGAACUAUAGACCAGUGAGCCUGACAUCGGUGGUUGGAACUGUCAGGAUAGUGAAGUGAUGGAUGGCUCAUACCAACUCCUCCGUCUUUCUCACAGUGAGCUGGAUCAGCCCUGUUGCUGCACAUCGGAUCAUAUCGGGAGGCAGCCUUGUCAUGUUCCAACCUGAUGCAAGGUUACAGCCCUCGGUUUUGGAGCAGUUGAAGAGACCUUUGCAUGUUUAUCACUCGAUCUCAUAUCGUUCACAAGUGGUAGCUGGAAUGAAUUACUUCAUCAAGGUUGUGAUUGGGGAUGUUGAUGAUGACAUACACGUGCGGAUGUUUCAGCCAUUGUCCUGUUCUGAUGAGAAACCCUCACUGUCAGAUAUCUAAACAGACAAGAAGCUGUUUGAUAAGAUUGAGUACUUCUAAGAGAGACCCAGAGCAUUGUUUGUAUCUCUCUCUCUCUCUUCACCAUCAAAUGCUGUUUGUAAAGAAAUUCCCUGCCUUUUCCCUCCCUCUCGAUCCUGACCACUGGGCUCUCCCUGUCUCCCUGCUGCCUCUGUCCCUAAUAGUCUGGAGUGCUUGAUGAAGCCAGCGAACCCUAACCACCUCCAGGCUGAUUAUUAACUGGGCAACCAAUGCUGGGCCAUGCUUCAAUGCUAUUGCACCAUGGGAUUGAUGAUUCCAAAUCAAAACCUCCCCUAUUCCCUCUUUACGUCAACCACUUCCAGCUUGGAAACGCUUCAGGCCGUGCUCAGGGAAUGGUGUGACAGGACAUCUGAACAGCUGCUGUGACGUUGCAAGCUGACCUUGGAAUCCCCCCCACGCCCAGUAACUGAGCUGUUCCACUGGAAUCACAUCGCACAGCAUUCAAUAAAAGCAUUC
Molecule: RNA transcript, 1100 nt
Organism: Hemiscyllium ocellatum (epaulette shark)
Lineage: Eukaryota; Metazoa; Chordata; Chondrichthyes; Orectolobiformes; Hemiscylliidae
Gene name: cystatin-B-like
Exons: 5
Source: RefSeq, a predicted model, not a curated record